This 26-nucleotide non-coding RNA is filed under the name Homo sapiens (human). The record is from RNAcentral. Lineage: Eukaryota; Metazoa; Chordata; Mammalia; Primates; Hominidae.
GAGAGAUUCAGAGAUGGAACACACCA